Molecule: long non-coding RNA, 1290 nt
Filed under: Homo sapiens (human)
Lineage: Eukaryota; Metazoa; Chordata; Mammalia; Primates; Hominidae
Description: novel transcript
Source: RNAcentral
GGCAGCCGUUAGACAGCACAACCGAACCCAACACCGGGGCCCAACGGCAGGGGCUUGGGCAGGAGCAAGGUCCGAGGGCUGCCAGGUCCACGCUGCUUUUAUGAGCUGUAACACUCACCGCGAAGAUCUGCAGCUUCACUCCUGAGCCCAGCGAGACCACGAGCCCACCGGGAGGAACAAACAACUCCAGACGCGCUGCCUUAAGAGCUGUAACACUUGCCGUGAAGGUCUGCAGCUUCACUCCUGAGCCAGCGAGACCACGAACCCACCAGAAGGAAGAAACUCCGAACACAUCUCAACAUCAGAACGGACAGACUCCAGACGCACCACCUUAAGAGCUGUAACACUCACCGCGAGGUUCCGCGGCUUCAUUCUUGAAGUUCGUGAGCCACACAUCUCCCCACACCAAGCUCCUCCAUACAAGACCUCGGACUGCAUCACGUAAAUGCUUUUUCAGGGGCAAAAUCUAGAGAAUCUGAAACGAGCUAUCAGCUUCCCAGUUUGCACAAUUCAUCAAGAAAUUAUGCGGGGUCACUGGCACAAAUGAUGAGGCAUCUCCUGGAAGCUUAACUUCUUAUCCAUCCCAUCUCUUGGACAGAUGAUGCCAGUUAAUUACUUUGAAUGUGGCCUAGGGAUUUCUGGGAGGAUCCGAAGAACAAGGCUGUCUGCAGUAGGAGCCUCCUGUUCCUCGCCACCUAAGCUUCAGCCCUGCCCAACUAACAGCUCUCCAUGUUCUAAAGAAGGUGGGAGUGCUGGACCACCCCAGCCUUCUGGAACCCCAGUUCUGUGACAUUAUCCAUCUCCUGGAAAUAUGCUGGUUUUAACCAUGCAAACUGGCCAAGCAUCAGGCAGAAAUAGCAGCUGUGCCUGGAAGGACAGGUGACAUCUGUGAAGAAAAUGGCCAAGCAGGACAGGGUGGAGAGCACGGGCUGUUCCCUUCCUUUCUGGGAACAGCACCACCUUUGGGGGAACUCCUUCUCUCAUGGGGUUUUAGGCAGGGGCUGCCAGUCCCAGGGCCCUGCCUCCUGUCACCCCCCAUAUGCAUAGGAACACUUGUGCACCAGUCGCUACAUUUGCAAGUGGAAGCUGGUGGAGCUGCUCAGCUCCCAACAGGAAGCCCAUGUGUGCGGGGCCAGAGGACACAGCCCAUCUGAGGCGCUAAGCUUCUGUGAAGAGGGAGUGGAGUCUGGAUGGGAUUCCAAUCCCACGGUCCACCCCUUCUGGGACCCAGACUCACCCUUCCCCUUCCUUCAAUUCUGAGAAACAAUAAAUGUCCCUACUUGCGAACAA